This is a long non-coding RNA of Nomascus leucogenys (northern white-cheeked gibbon), 579 nucleotides long. RefSeq lists it as uncharacterized. NCBI's taxonomy places the organism in Eukaryota, Metazoa, Chordata, Mammalia, Primates, Hylobatidae. The record is from RefSeq and is a predicted model, not a curated record. The transcript is spliced from 2 exons.
UCCAGCCUGGGCAACAGCGAGACUCCGUCUCAAAAAAAAAAAAAAAAGUUUUAAGAAAUUAAAGUUUAUAAACCAAAUGUUCAUUGUGAGCUAAGGUUAAUUUAUUAUUGAAGAAAUAAAACAUUUUAAUGAAAUUCAGUGUAGCCUAAGUGUCCAGUGUUUAUAAAGUUUAUACAGUAAUACGUUUAUACGGAACAUCCUAGGCCUUCACAUUUACUCACCACUCAAUCAGUGACUCACCCAGAGCAACUUCCAGUACUGCAAGCUCCAUUCAUGGAUGAAGGCAAGCAUUUAUUCCUAAGGUCUGGAUUCUGCAUAUCACCUACAAGUUAACUGCUUUUGUGUUCUAAAAGAGAGAGGAAAAAUGAAGUUGUCAACCUUAUUGAAAAACAAGGAGGGAAACUAAGGAACAUGCUUUCGCUUUCGAGGUUCUAGGCCAGAAGUCAUGAACUGUAACUUGUCCAAGUUAUGGCCAAGCAGAUAUGUUUUGUUUGGCCCACAUGGAGCAUAUUUUUUCUAAUUGAAUCAACAUUUUAAAAUAUGAUGAUUUAAUAUUUAAAAAUAAAAAGUGCAUCUCUA